Non-coding RNA from Candidatus Staskawiczbacteria bacterium, 71 nucleotides. NCBI's taxonomy places the organism in Bacteria, Candidatus Staskawicziibacteriota. The record is from Rfam.
CGGGGUAUAGUAUAACGGCAUUAUGCACGGCUGGGGGUCGUGUGACCUGGGUUCAACUCCCAGUACCCCGA